RNAcentral lists this long non-coding RNA (329 nucleotides) under Daucus carota (carrot). RNAcentral's name for it is "long non-coding RNA (DCAR_LNC002906)". Lineage: Eukaryota; Viridiplantae; Streptophyta; Magnoliopsida; Apiales; Apiaceae. The record is from RNAcentral.
CUUGCUCAUCAACACUCAGCAAUUUCUAAGGUGGCCUUGCAUGACUUUUUGUUGUGCCCCUCCUCUUUGCACCUUGUACAGGUAACUGUCCUUUUAUCCACAGAUUCUGAUUCUUUCAGUUCCCUCUUUUCUUGGGCCGCUGUCCUAGUGGGCACAGGGGGGAGCACAGACUCGGUUAAACCUGGACUUUUAUCAUCAUCUUCCACAGGCUUCACUCCCAGUACCAAGUUUAUGGACUUGGAAUAUGUUGAUCGGUAGCUAUCAGCUGUAAAAUAUUUGGAAUAAUAAUCAUAUGAAUUCCUACCUGUUGAAAUGAAGACAGCAACAGC